CAAGAACAUCCUGGGUCAGUGGAAUUCUGUUAUGGCAAAAUUGCAAAUAACUCUUUUGAAGAGAAAAAAAACUUUUUUUUUUUAUAUAUUUAUAUGUUAACAACACAAGUUAUAGGGUUAGUUAUUUCAUAUGUUAGGAAGUUCGUUGAAGACUUUUGUGUAAGCUGUCUUUGCUUCUUCCGUAUUUGAGACUUGGUACUUCUGCUGAUGUAUUGAAAAAUCAACAUAGUAGGGUACUUCAUUUGGAAACGUUCUUUUUAUUACUAAGGAUCAUUUGAAGAUUUUUGCUGCCUUGCCAUGUGGUCUUCCAAAUACUGGAGCAAGAUUAGGCCUUCUAAGACACAGGUUAUUAUACGUUAGACAUUUGGCCUCUAUAAACCUCCAUACGUAGAUGAAGAGAAUAAACUCAUUAUCCAGGCACUACACAGACAUGGAUCAUUCCUGUUAAACAGGGGAUGAAAUGAUGACUCCUCCCAUGACCUUAUAUGGGAGCAGCACAGUUGCUGAUAUGACUGGGAGUACCAGAAGAUAAGACACUGUUCCAGUUUUAUGAUUAAGAACACAGAGCAUAGGGCAGCUGCAAUUGCCCUGGAAAGGAUGGCUACUGGAGGUGAUCCUGCUACUGAAUAAGCACUGACUGAGACAAAGAAGUUCUUUCCACUGUCAUUUUUUCCAGUCAGCUGAUCAGGAAGUUCACAAAUAGUCAUUGAUGCUGAUGCUGAGGUAGAGGACAACCGAAGUGUGUCUACUGCUGACUUCCAGUUAUGCCAUAUAAUAAAUCAUUCAUUGUGAGUGUGUGCACGCAAGUGUGUGUGUCUGUGUCUAUAGCUAUAUCGCUAGAUAGACAGGUAUUAAUCUAUGGAUCUACUUUCACAUCUUGAAUGCGCACUUGACAGAACCACAAAAUAUCAAGACCAAAAACAUGCGCAGUCAAAUACCUGAAACUUCAUAAAAUCAACUCAGAGAAUAUCGAACAAAACAAAGCAAAUGGUACCUCCCAACUCAAUAGCAAGCCCAAACUACAACUGUUUCUUAUAUCUACACUUUUGUAGAGGGGCUAUGACCCCUGUACCCCCCUGUUGGGGGUGCACUACCACAAACUAAAUAUACCAACUCUGAGAUCGUACAUUUCAGAAAAUUUACCAACUCAGAGAUCACACUACAUUUCAGACAAGGGUAAAAUAUGGAUACACUGUGCUUCAACUACUACAGAUUUAUAUCAAACAACAUUAUCUUUCCAUUCUAACUCCAAAACAUACUUGUAAAUUAUUCCUUGUUGUUUUCCUAUCUUACUGGUUAAACUCUAAACGCAUCUUCACAGAAUCCAGCAGCAUCAACGUUACUUCCGCCAUGUCUCUUUACGUCCUCAACACAUCUUAAAGAGACAGUACACUAUUUCAACAAAUACCAUAUACCUUCUUCAAAACACUUUACAACACAGAAUUACCAUUUGCUUCUCCAUAUUCAGCAUUCUAAAAGUCAAUCUUUUGGACUUUCAGGUACUUGCAUUUUUGAUAUACUCGUCUUGAUAUGUUCCAGUACGGUCAAGUGGGCAUUCAAAAUUUGAAAUUAGAUCCACAUCUAUAGAUAUAUGUAUAUGUACAUAUAUAUAGAGAGAGAGGAAGUGAGAGCAAGAGGGGUGGGGAGAACAGAGACUGAGAGAGAGAAAGAGAGGCUGGUGGAAAUGAAAACUGUAGAGAGGAUUUUGUAUAAGAUGUUUCUUAUUAAUCAAAUGUAAUGUGGAUUAUUUUGCACUUAUUUUAUUUACAUUGUGAUACUUAUCAUCCAUCUUUCAUGUCAUUUUCUUCUCUCUGUGCACAUCUGAUACUGAUUUUACAUGACCUCCUGCACAUGGUAGGCAUUUUUAAUAUUAUUAUUAUUAUUAUUACUAUAUAUAAACAAUUUGCAUCUAGUUUUGCUUAAAUUACAUUUUCCAUAAAAUAAGUUUGAUAACUUUUUAUUCUGUUUUUUCUCUUUGUUGUGUUAAUUGCUUGUUAUCAUAGGUGAUCCUGACACUGGCACUGCAGAACUGCUAAUGCCUGAUGUCAAAGUAUUGGUAGCUGAUGAUGAUGAGGCACAGUCUGGGGGUGCAGAGGGUCAAUCUGACACUGAGGUUUUGGCACCCAUAUCCCUCGCCCAUUUAUCGGACACAGUUAGUAUGCCAGUGCAUACCCAUGAACAAAACCCUCAGAGAAAGCACAGGAUGAGGGUAACACAGUUGAUCAGGGUAGUGUAAUUACUCCAGUUAUAGAGCUGGCUUAGUCCUCCCAUAGCCAUUGUUAUAUCAGUAGGUGCCAUACACCGUAUGUAGAGGGCAAUCAUGGAGGCACAGUCAUGUUCCACCAGAGCAUUGUAACAAAUAGUGUGAGUACUUAAUAUUGACCAUUCUGAUGUGCAAGACUGUCUGAACCUUUUGGGUGACUCCACAGACAGGAUGAAUGACACUCUUGAUUGGGCAGUGUCUAUAAUGGAGCAUCUGCUGAGGAAGAUCAGCAUUCACAUUGCUGGAGAGGCUCUAAGUCAUCAGGUGUUAGCCACCAUGAGUGUGUAAUAUCCCACUCCUGUAUUAGCACUAUGCCCACAACUGCAUCAGUGGUUACGGUGUCCAUACCCAGUUGUAUUAGACCAAGUGGUUGUAUUCCUGGACAUCAUCAUUGUGAAGACAUCUCAUCCUACAUGCAUCAAUCACAUUCAGGUAGCACUCUAACAUCUAGCCAGGGCCAUGGAACUUGCAGUGCAACUCCUGGCAGAGGUAAUUCUUGUGGUCGUGACUUUGAACUGACUGUUCUACCAUGCACUGCUCAUACCUGUCUAUGAUGCAAUAAUGUAUUGCUAACACAAGUGCUUUGAUUGUGUUCAUGCAGACCAACACAUAUUAAAUAUCAUCUAUCUGUAUCACCUCAUGCACAUUUUAAACACACCCACACACAUAUACAUUCUAUCUAAACAAUUACUACUGAAUGUUAGCAAUCUGUUGUUAUUGGUACUGAAAAUUUUAUACUUGCUGAGAAACUGGUUUCUUAUUCACAUGAAUUCACUGCUUUGGUGUCAGGAUUGCCCUCCUGUAACCCCCACCACACACACACACAUCCUGUGCAUGUGUUGGUGACUGUGCCCUGCCAUUUCCACAUUUCUUUGUGACUCUGGGUUGCCUAUGUCUAAUAUAAAGAAUGACUAAGUAAUGCGUACUUAGUCAAAUACUUGGUUUCAUCACAUGUAUUGCAAAAAAUAAUUGAUUAAUAUUUCUUUUUCUUGUUCAGUUGUAAAGUAUUAAAUGUAAUUGUUUUGGUUUUAUUGUUCUUAUUAAUUUAAUGUUACUAGUUAUGCAUUGUUGCUUGCUCUUAAAUCUGUGCAAAUGACGGCUACCAUUGACCUGUUCACUAUUGGGUUAUCUACACUGGUCAAAUAUCACCCAUGUUGCACAGUAUUGGACACAAAUAUAGAUGUAGAUUGCAUGAUUCACUCGUGACUUACUGCUGACAUUACUUUAGAAUUGAGACACAUUUCAUCUUAUUGACAAAUAAGUAUCUGCAUAUGAAAGUAA
This is a long non-coding RNA of Protopterus annectens (West African lungfish), 3544 nucleotides long. RefSeq lists it as uncharacterized. Lineage: Eukaryota; Metazoa; Chordata; Ceratodontiformes; Protopteridae. The record is from RefSeq and is a predicted model, not a curated record. The transcript is spliced from 3 exons.